Molecule: ribosomal RNA, 466 nt
Filed under: uncultured bacterium
Lineage: Bacteria
Description: partial 16S ribosomal RNA
Rfam family: Bacterial small subunit ribosomal RNA
Source: RNAcentral
GAUGAACGCUGGCGGCGUGCUUAACACAUGCAAGUCGAACGAUGAAGCCCAGCUUGCUGGGUGGAUUAGUGGCGAACGGGUGAGUAACACGUGAGUAACCUGCCCUUAACUCUGGGAUAAGCCUGGGAAACUGGGUCUAAUACCGGAUAGGAGCGCCUACCGCAUGGUGGGUGUUGGAAAGAUUUAUCGGUUUUGGAUGGACUCGCGGCCUAUCAGCUGGUUGGUGAGGUAAUGGCUCACCAAGGCGACGACGGGUAGCCGGCCUGAGAGGGUGACCGGCCCCACUGGGACUGAGACACGGCCCAGACUCCUACGGGAGGCAGCAGUGGGGAAUAUUGCACAAUGGGCGAAAGCCUGAUGCAGCGACGCCGCGUGAGGGAUGACGGCCUUCGGGUUGUAAACCUCUUUCAGUAGGGAAGAAGCGAAAGUGACGGUACCUGCAGAAGAAGCACCGGCUAACUACGUG